CAGCAGCCGCGGGAAUACGUAGGGUGCAAGCGUUAAUCGGAAUUACUGGGCGUAAAGCGUGCGCAGGCGGUUAUAUAAGUCAGAUGUGAAAUCCCCGGGCUCAACCUGGGAACUGCAUUUGAGACUGUAUGGCUAGAGUGUGUCAGAGGGGGGUAGAAUUCCACGUGUAGCAGUGAAAUGCGUAGAUAUGUGGAGGAAUACCGAUGGCGAAGGCAGCCCUUUGGGAUAACACUGACGCUCAUGCACGAAAGCGUGGGGAGCAAACAGGAUUAGAGACCCCCGUAGUCCCUGUCUCUUAUAC
This 301-nucleotide ribosomal RNA is filed under the name uncultured bacterium. RNAcentral describes it as "partial 16S ribosomal RNA". It matches the Rfam family "Bacterial small subunit ribosomal RNA", at positions 509 to 807 of the family's 1533-position model. The record is from RNAcentral.